This 444-nucleotide ribosomal RNA is filed under the name Capnocytophaga gingivalis. Its description in RNAcentral is "bacterial SSU rRNA". It matches the Rfam family "Bacterial small subunit ribosomal RNA", at positions 28 to 478 of the family's 1533-position model. The record is from RNAcentral. Lineage: Bacteria; Pseudomonadati; Bacteroidota; Flavobacteriia; Flavobacteriales; Flavobacteriaceae.
GAUGAACGCUAGCGGCAGGCCUAACACAUGCAAGUCGAGGGAGAAGCCCUUUCGGGGGCAGAAACCGGCGCACGGGUGCGUAACGCGUAUGCAACCUACCUUUCACAGGGGGAUAGCCCGAAGAAAUUUGGAUUAAUACCCCAUAAUAUUGUUGGAUGGCAUCAUCUGGCAAUUAAAGCUACGACGGUGGAAGAUGGGCAUGCGUCCUAUUAGCUAGUUGGAGUGGUAACGGCACCCCAAGGCUACGAUAGGUAGGGGUCCUGAGAGGGAGAUCCCCCACACUGGUACUGAGACAGGGACCAGACUCCUACGGGAGGCAGCAGUGAGGAAUAUUGGUCAAUGGUCGGAAGACUGAACCAGCCAUGCCGCGUGCAGGAAGAAUGCCUUAUGGGUGUAAACUGCUUUUAUAUGGAAGAAUAAGGUGUACGUUACAUGAGACGGUCC